This 465-nucleotide ribosomal RNA is filed under the name uncultured bacterium. RNAcentral describes it as "bacterial SSU rRNA". It matches the Rfam family "Bacterial small subunit ribosomal RNA", at positions 338 to 795 of the family's 1533-position model. The record is from RNAcentral.
CCUACGGGGGGCAGCAGUAGGGAAUCUUCGGCAAUGGACGAAAGUCUGACCGAGCAACGCCGCGCGAGUGAAGAAGGUUUUCGGAUCGUAAAACUCUGUUGUUAGAGAAGAACAAGUAGGAGAGUAACUGCUCUUACCUUGACGGUAUCUAACCAGAAAGCCACGGCUAACUACGUGCCAGCAGCCGCGGUAAUACGUAGGUGGCAAGCGUUGUCCGGAUUUAUUGGGCGUAAAGCGAGCGCAGGCGGUCUUUUAAGUCUGAUGUGAAAGCCCUCGGCUCAACCGAGGAAGGUCAUUGGAAACUGGAGGACUUGAGUGCAGAAGAGGAGAGUGGAAUUCCAUGUGUAGCGGUGAAAUGCGUAGAUAUAUGGAGGAACACCAGUGGCGAAGGCGACUCUCUGGUCUGUAACUGACGCUCAGGUGCGAAAGCGUGGGGAGCAAACAGGAUUAGAUACCCUGGUAGUC